AUACGGAGGAUCCGAGCGUUAUCCGGAUUUAUUGGGUUUAAAGGGUGCGCAGGCGGCCAUUUAAGUCAGCGGUUAAAUCGUGGGGCUCAACCCCAUUCUGCCGUUGAUACUGGGUGGCUUGAUUGCGGUCGAGGUUGGCGGAAUUCGUUGUGUAGCGGUGAAAUGCAUAGAUAUGACGAAGAACACCGAUUGCGUAGGCAGCUGACCAGACCGCAAAUGACGCUCAUGCACGAAAGUGCGGGGAUCGAACAGGAUUAGAUACCCUGGUAGUCCGCGCAGUAAACGAUGAAUACUUGUUUUCGGCGAUAUAAUGUCGGAGGCAAAGCGAAAGCGAUAAGUAUUCCACCUGGGGAGUACGCCGGCAACGGUGAAACUCAAAUGAAUUGACGGGG
RNAcentral lists this ribosomal RNA (392 nucleotides) under uncultured bacterium. RNAcentral's name for it is "partial 16S ribosomal RNA". It matches the Rfam family "Bacterial small subunit ribosomal RNA", at positions 523 to 918 of the family's 1533-position model. The record is from RNAcentral.